UGUGUAGCUCAGCUGGAUAGAGCGUCUGGCUACGGACCAGAAGGUCGAGGGUUCGAAUCCUUUCAC
This 66-nucleotide transfer RNA is filed under the name bovine gut metagenome. It matches the Rfam family "tRNA", at positions 5 to 66 of the family's 71-position model. Rfam says of the family: Transfer RNA (tRNA) molecules are approximately 80 nucleotides in length. Their secondary structure includes four short double-helical elements and three loops (D, anti-codon, and T loops). Further hydrogen bonds mediate the characteristic L-shaped molecular structure. tRNAs have two regions of fundamental functional importance: the anti-codon, which is responsible for specific mRNA codon recognition, and the 3' end, to which the tRNAs corresponding amino acid is attached (by aminoacyl-tRNA synthetases). tRNAs cope with the degeneracy of the genetic code in two manners: having more than one tRNA (with a specific anti-codon) for a particular amino acid; and 'wobble' base-pairing, i.e. permitting non-standard base-pairing at the 3rd anti-codon position. The record is from RNAcentral.